RNAcentral lists this ribosomal RNA (217 nucleotides) under uncultured bacterium. RNAcentral's name for it is "partial 16S ribosomal RNA". It matches the Rfam family "Bacterial small subunit ribosomal RNA", at positions 524 to 735 of the family's 1533-position model. The record is from RNAcentral.
UACGUAGGGUGCAAGCGUUUGUUCGGAAAUCAUUGGGCGUAAAGCGCGUGUAGGUGGUUAAUUUAAGUCGAUUGUGAAAGGCCCUCGGCUCAACCGAGGAAGUGCAGUCGAAACUGACUAGCUAGAGGACGGCAGAGGAAGGUGGAAUUCCAAGUGUAGAGGUGAAAUUCGUAGAUAUUAGGAAGAACACCAGUGGCGGAAGGCGGCCCACUGGAUC